CAGUCCUGUAAAUAGAUUACAAAGACAGAAAGAAGUCUCACCUUCUUAUAUAGCCAAACAGAUACAACAAAUUACAUACAUUUUGUCAAGAUAAAUAAGUAGUCCUCAAGUAAGAGGACUUGACAACACCAUUUGUCACACAUAGUUCAUCAUAGUUCAUCACUUGGUAAUUGGAGUGACCAUUUGUUAGCUAACUGGCUUUAUCCAAAGGAAAAAUAAACUUCUCGAAUCUUUAUGAGAUAGGUAGUUUGGGAGCUAGGCGUCCACUCAAGUUAGAUUCCCACCAUCCUGCAGACAGUGGGAGCUAGGAACGCUACCUGCCUUGGGGUUACAUUUCAAAGAGAUGGUUCGCAGGUUCUUAAGAAAGACCUCUGGGUCACAAAGCUGUCCAGAGGCUUAGUUAGCUUUUAAAAAGAUUUAUAUGCAUUUCAAAGAACUUACAGAGAAAGAAUUUACAAGUUUUUCAAGUAAAUGUCUAAGAAAAGGGAGACAUAGAAGUCUCUUCCCUUAUUUUCAACACAGAGAAUUAAGCCUCUUACCUCUUUUUUUGUAUCUGCUCUUGCACAGCUAGCCCUCUGGGAGCCCCGCCGGAAGUGCUGGUUGCUGCUACAUGCUUUGUCAGUCAGAGCCACUGACCAAGUCCAAGCUACCAGUAUCUCCGCCAGGACUGCUGCAGCAGCCUUAAAGUUCCCCUGCAAGGAUUCAUCCUCCUCCAAUCUACUCUACAGAGCAGCCAGAGUGGAUGAACACAAGAUUCUCCUCAUGGCCAGAGGACCUGCAAGACCAGACCCCCACCUACCUCCUCAGCCUCAUCUCAGAGCCACCGUCUCUGCUAAUAGGCCUUUUCACCUGUUCCUCUCCACAGAUGCUCCCCCAACCCCUUCACCUACCCUUCGUUCAGCCUCUGCUGUCAUCACCUCUGCAGGAAGGCCCUCCUGACCUCUUCUGGGCAGCCCUUUUCAGUUGCAGUGUUAUAUCGAUUUAUAGCAAUAAUUUGAUUAAGCAUGUCUCUUCAUGUAGAAUGCAAUUUCCCAUGAAGGCAGGGACCCCA
Equus caballus (horse) is the source of this 1051-nucleotide non-coding RNA. NCBI's taxonomy places the organism in Eukaryota, Metazoa, Chordata, Mammalia, Perissodactyla, Equidae. The record is from RefSeq and is a predicted model, not a curated record.